This 459-nucleotide ribosomal RNA is filed under the name uncultured bacterium. RNAcentral describes it as "partial 16S ribosomal RNA". It matches the Rfam family "Bacterial small subunit ribosomal RNA", at positions 338 to 795 of the family's 1533-position model. The record is from RNAcentral.
CCUACGGGAGGCAGCAGUGAGGAAUAUUGGUCAAUGGGCGGGAGCCUGAACCAGCCAAGCCGCGUGAGGGAAGAAGGUACAGCGUAUCGUAAACCUCUUUUGUCAGGGAACAAAGGCGGGGACUAGUCCCCGGAUGAGGGUACCUGAAGAAACAGCAUCGGCUAACUCCGUGCCAGCAGCCGCGGUAAUACGGAGGAUGCGGGCGUUAUCCGGAUUUAGUGGGUUUAAAGGGUGGGCAGGCGGCCUGUUAAGUCAGCGGUAAAAGCCCGGGGCUCAACCCCGGCGAGCCGUUGAAACUGGCGGGUUGGAGUUGGAGAGAAGUACGCGGAAUGCGCGGUGUAGCGGUGAAAUGCUUAGAUAUCGCGCAGAACCCCGAUUGCGAAGGCAGCGUACCGGCUCCACACUGACGCUGAGGCACGAAAGCGUGGGUAUCGAACAGGAUUAGAUACCCCAGUAGUC